GAUGAACGCUGUCUACAGGCUUAACACAUGCAAGUCGAGGGGAAACGACGGGGAAGCUUGCUUCCCCGGGCGUCGACCGGCGCACGGGUGAGUAACGCGUAUCCAACCUGCCUCUGACUGAGGGAUAACCCGUCGAAAGUCGGCCUAAUACCUCAUGGCAUCGUCUGCGGGCAUCCAACGACGAUUAAAGAUUUCAUCGGUCAGGGAUGGGGAUGCGUCUGAUUAGCUUGUUGGCGGGGUAACGGCCCACCAAGGCUACGAUCAGUAGGGGUUCUGAGAGGAAGGUCCCCCACAUUGGAACUGAGACACGGACCAAACUCCUACGGGAGGCAGCAGUGAGGAAGAUUGGUCAAUGGGCGGGAGCCUGAACCAGCCAAGUAGCGUGCAGGAGGACGGCCCUAUGGGUUGUAAACUGCUUUUAUGCGGGGAUAAAGUGAGGGACGUGUCCUUCAUUGCAGGUACCGCAUGAAUAAGGACCGGCUAAUUCCGUG
Molecule: ribosomal RNA, 491 nt
Filed under: uncultured bacterium
Lineage: Bacteria
Description: partial 16S ribosomal RNA
Rfam family: Bacterial small subunit ribosomal RNA
Source: RNAcentral